Molecule: ribosomal RNA, 465 nt
Filed under: uncultured bacterium
Lineage: Bacteria
Description: partial 16S ribosomal RNA
Rfam family: Bacterial small subunit ribosomal RNA
Source: RNAcentral
GACGAACGCUGGCGGCGUGCUUAACACAUGCAAGUCGAACGGAAAGGCCCUGCUUGCAGGGUACUCGAGUGGCGAACGGGUGAGUAACACGUGGGUGAUCUGCCCUGCACUUCGGGAUAAGCCUGGGAAACUGGGUCUAAUACCGGAUAGGAGCCAUUUUUAGUGUGAUGGUUGGAAAGUUUUUUCGGUGUAGGAUGAGCUCGCGGCCUAUCAGCUUGUUGGUGGGGUAAUGGCCUACCAAGGCGGCGACGGGUAGCCGGCCUGAGAGGGUGGACGGCCACAUUGGGACUGAGAUACGGCCCAGACUCCUACGGGAGGCAGCAGUGGGGAAUAUUGCACAAUGGGCGCAAGCCUGAUGCAGCGACGCCGCGUGGGGGAUGACGGCCUUCGGGUUGUAGACUCCUUUCGCUAGGGACGAAGCUUUUUGUGACGGUACCUAGAGAAGAAGCACCGGCUAACUACGUG